RNAcentral lists this ribosomal RNA (543 nucleotides) under uncultured archaeon. RNAcentral describes it as "bacterial SSU rRNA". It matches the Rfam family "Archaeal small subunit ribosomal RNA", at positions 335 to 879 of the family's 1478-position model. The record is from RNAcentral.
CCAGGCGCGAAACUUUACAAUGCGGGAAACCGUGAUAAGGGGACACCGAGUGCCAGCAUCAUAUGCUGGCUGUCCAGGUGUGUAAAAUACACCUGUCAGCAAGGGCCGGGCAAGACCGGUGCCAGCCGCCGCGGUAACACCGGCGGCCCGAGUGGUGAUCGUGAUUAUUGGGUCUAAAGGGUCCGUAGCCGGUUUGGUCAGUCCUCCGGGAAAUCUGACGGCUCAACCGUUAGGCUUUCGGGGGAUACUGCCAGGCUUGGAACCGGGAGAGGUAAGAGGUACUACAGGGGUAGGAGUGAAAUCUUGUAAUCCCUGUGAGACCACCUGUGGCGAAGGCGUCUUACCAGAACGGGUUCGACGGUGAGGGACGAAAGCUGGGGGCACGAACCGGAUUAGAUACCCGGGUAGUCCCAGCCGUAAACGAUGCUCGCUAGGUGUCAGGCAUGGCGCGACCGUGUCUGGUGCCGCAGGGAAGCCGUGAAGCGAGCCACCUGGGAAGUACGGCCGCAAGGCUGAAACUUAAAGGAAUUGGCGGGGGAGCAC